GUUCCUGUUGCUUUCUAAACCCAUCCAGCCAUCUCUCUGCAAAUUGCCACACUUCUGAGCAGCACUGACUUCCGCCAACAGCCACUAUCAAUGCUGUGGAGAGGUCUGGCACUUUUCAGCAAGAUGACAAAGACAGUGAAGUGACAGCUAAGAACUUCCUCACGAUGUUCUCCCACUUCUUCAUUCCUAUUACAUCACCACGACAGGUCAAAUUUCACUGUAAGAAACAAAAGCUCUGUUUGGAUCUGAUUUGCGGGCCUUGUCCACGCCCCACUGACCAAUGGCGUAAGCCUGCUGCCCGUGCUGUUGGAACACAACAGUCCUAA
RNAcentral lists this long non-coding RNA (326 nucleotides) under Mustela putorius furo (domestic ferret). Its description in RNAcentral is "lncRNA (ENSMPUG00000024062.1)". Lineage: Eukaryota; Metazoa; Chordata; Mammalia; Carnivora; Mustelidae. The record is from RNAcentral.